RNAcentral lists this unclassified non-coding RNA (355 nucleotides) under fungal sp. RNAcentral describes it as "partial internal transcribed spacer region". The stretch from base 1 to 46 matches the Rfam family "Eukaryotic small subunit ribosomal RNA", at positions 1786 to 1831 of the family's 1831-position model. The record is from RNAcentral. Lineage: Eukaryota; Fungi.
AAGUCGUAACAAGGUUUCCGUAGGUGAACCUGCGGAAGGAUCAUUAACACGUAUCCAAACGUUAAAACCCCCCCCGUGAACCUUCAUCCUGCUCUUGUAACCCGCGUAGUUCGCAAUCUCUGAUAAAUCAUAGCCCGGAAAGUUGUAGUGAUUCAGAGACCUCUGGCUACGUGCGAACAUUGGAACAGUUACAAUCGAGCGGUAGUUCUAUAGGCAAUGUUUCUCCAAGCAGUCAGUGUCGGAAAGUGUCAUUGAUUGUGCAAGGAUAGCGCUUCUACGAUUCCUGUAGACCGUACACUGGCAGGAGCUUUGCCAAAGGGUCCCCAUGCCCCCUAAUAACCCCACAGUUUAAUGU